GACGAACGCUGGCGGCGUGCCUAAUACAUGCAAGUAGAACGCUGAAGGAGGAGCUUGCUUCUCUGGAUGAGUUGCGAACGGGUGAGUAACGCGUAGGUAACCUGCCUGGUAGCGGGGGAUAACUAUUGGAAACGAUAGCUAAUACCGCAUAAUAGCAGUUGUUGCAUGACAACUGUUUGAAAGGUGCAAUUGCACCACUACCAGAUGGACCUGCGUUGUAUUAGCUAGUUGGUGGGGUAACGGCUCACUAAGGCGACGAUACAUAGCCGACCUGAGAGGGUGAUCGGCCACACUGGGACUGAGACACGGCCCAGACUCCUACGGGAGGCAGCAGUAGGGAAUCUUCGGCAAUGGACGGAAGUCUGACCGAGCAACGCCGCGUGAGUGAAGAAGGGUUUCGGAUCGUAAAGCUCUGUUGUAAGAGAAGAACGAGUGUGAGAGUGGAAAGUUCACACUGUGACGGUAUCUUACCAGAAAGGGACGGCUAACUACGUG
RNAcentral lists this ribosomal RNA (495 nucleotides) under uncultured bacterium. Its description in RNAcentral is "partial 16S ribosomal RNA". It matches the Rfam family "Bacterial small subunit ribosomal RNA", at positions 28 to 507 of the family's 1533-position model. The record is from RNAcentral.